UGGGGGACUGCCCCCUGCUCAGUGAGACAGAGAUGGGGAUGUGCAUAGUCUGGUGUGCAGCCAUGUAUCUCUUGGGAGCAAGCCAAACCGAUGCUAAAAUAACCCAAACACCGAGUCUGCUGCUGGAGAGAGGACAGACUGCCUAUCUCAGAUGUCAGCAAACCUAUGGGCAUAACAGCAUGUUCUGGUACCGGCAGGACCCAGGGCAGGGACUGCAGCUGCUCUUUAACUUCUACUAUAAAGAAGAAAGAGAGAAAGGCACAAAUUCUAGUCACUUCCAGGCCGACCAGCCGCAGGAUGAUCUCUUUCACUUGAACAUCUCAUCUGUGCAGCCAGAGCACUCGGCUGUGUAUUUCUGCGCCAGCAGCUCAGACACAGCGCUUCAGAGUCACCUCCUCCCUCUACAAAAACCUCAUCUGUUCUUUGUCUCUCUGCAGCCCCACCACAGGGACAGCAACAAGGCACAUUCUCUGUGA
Trachemys scripta elegans is the source of this 476-nucleotide non-coding RNA. The record is from the annotation of a RefSeq genome assembly. Lineage: Eukaryota; Metazoa; Chordata; Testudines; Emydidae.